GACAGAGGGUGCAAACGUUGUUCGGAAUUACUGGGCGUAAAGCGCGUGUAGGCUGCUCGGAAAGUCGGAUGUGAAAGCCCUGGGCUCAACCUAGGAAGUGCAUUCGAAACUUCCGAGCUGGAGUACUGGAGAGGAAGGCGGAAUUCUCGGUGUAGAGGUGAAAUUCGUAGAUAUCGAGAGGAACACCGGUGGCGAAGGCGGCCUUCUGGACAGUAACUGUCGCUGAGACGCGAAAGCGUGGGGAGCAAACAGG
RNAcentral lists this ribosomal RNA (253 nucleotides) under uncultured bacterium. Its description in RNAcentral is "partial 16S ribosomal RNA". It matches the Rfam family "Bacterial small subunit ribosomal RNA", at positions 524 to 776 of the family's 1533-position model. The record is from RNAcentral.